GCCGAUGUGGUGGAAUUGGUAGACACGCUAUCUUGAGGGGGUAGUGCCUUAACGGCGUGCCGGUUCGACUCCGGCCAUCGGCACCA
Molecule: transfer RNA, 86 nt
Filed under: Gammaproteobacteria bacterium
Lineage: Bacteria; Pseudomonadati; Pseudomonadota; Gammaproteobacteria
Also listed under: 2 other names
Description: tRNA-Leu
Rfam family: tRNA
About the family: Transfer RNA (tRNA) molecules are approximately 80 nucleotides in length. Their secondary structure includes four short double-helical elements and three loops (D, anti-codon, and T loops).
Source: RNAcentral